RNAcentral lists this ribosomal RNA (254 nucleotides) under uncultured bacterium. RNAcentral describes it as "partial 16S ribosomal RNA". It matches the Rfam family "Bacterial small subunit ribosomal RNA", at positions 524 to 776 of the family's 1533-position model. The record is from RNAcentral.
UACGUAGGAUCCAAGCGUUAUCCGGAAUCACUGGGCGUAAAGCGUGCGUAGGCGGUUGUUUGCGUGAGAUGCGAAAUCCUGUGGCUCAACCAUAUGGACUGUAUCUCAUACGGAGCAACUAGAGGACGGCAGAGGCAAAUGGAACUGGCGGUGUAGCAGUGAAAUGCGUAGAUAUCGCCAAGAACACCAAUGGCGAAGGCAGUUUGCUGGGCCGUAUCUGACGCUGAGGCACGAAAGCGUGGGGAGCGAACAGG